This is a long non-coding RNA of Hypomesus transpacificus, 374 nucleotides long. RefSeq lists it as uncharacterized. The record is from RefSeq and is a predicted model, not a curated record. The transcript has 4 exons. Lineage: Eukaryota; Metazoa; Chordata; Actinopteri; Osmeriformes; Osmeridae.
CAGAAAGAUCCUUCCAUGUGGACAGACUUCCACAGAGAACAAACCACUUGACAUUGAUCAAGAAGCGUACUGGCUGGCAAGACACAAGCAGGGCCAUACAGCCGACCUCUGCCGAUAACGGUGACGGUUGUGGCUAUAAAAAAGUGGAUGGAAUGGGACGAAGAGGCGGUGGCUGCAAAGUCGUUUAAGGCUAACCUGGCCUGUGCAGUGUCUGAUGGGUCGACUGGGUGGCGCCAGAUUGACAGAAGCAGGCAGAGGAGCUGUUAAGCCCCCAUUCUACAAUGCACCACUUAAGAGAUUGUGUAACUGGCCAUGGCACUGUCCAAGGCUUGGUCACCUCCGUAAGUACAGGGAGUUGCCAACACUCAAGCAGU